UACGGAGGGUGCGAGCGUUAAUCGGAAUUACUGGGCGUAAAGCGCAUGCAGGUGGUUCAUUAAGUCAGAUGUGAAAGCCCGGGGCUCAACCUCGGAACUGCAUUUGAAACUGGUGAACUAGAGUACUGUAGAGGGGGGUAGAAUUUCAGGUGUAGCGGUGAAAUGCGUAGAGAUCUGAAGGAAUACCAGUGGCGAAGGCGGCCCCCUGGACAGAUACUGACACUCAGAUGCGAAAGCGUGGGGAGCAAACAGG
Molecule: ribosomal RNA, 253 nt
Filed under: uncultured bacterium
Lineage: Bacteria
Also listed under: 1 other name
Description: partial 16S ribosomal RNA
Rfam family: Bacterial small subunit ribosomal RNA
Source: RNAcentral